AUACAUAUAUUUUAGGUAAGCAUUUUUCUAGAUACAUAAUUUUAUAUAACGGAAAAAAGCAAUAUAUUAUGUUUUGUGGAGGUUUCAGGUGUACAAAAUGUUCAACAGUUAUGGCUUAUCAUCUAAAAUUGGUUAAAUAUUCGGGUAAGUUUUAUUUGAUUACUAUAAUUUUGUACGAUGACUAAUAUAGUAUAUCCCAAUAUGAUGAUAUUUGAACCACCAAGAUCUCUGAAUGCUGUGAUUUUACAGUAUUUGCUAACUGACUAUCACUUUAAUAAAUUGAAAUUUAAAUGGAAAAAUAACAAUCUUGACAUACUAUUCUUUCUUAAUGUUUAGAUUGCCUGCAAGCUUUGCUGCUUCUAUCUUAAGAUCUUGUGAAGUGAAUAAAGGUUUCAUUGAAAUUCAAUAGAAAAACGGAAAAGUCAACUUUUAAGAAGGUCUCUUAUUGGCUGUGAAGAUACUUGGCAAUAAUUCAAUCUUCAAGGAUUUUUUACUCUUCUUGGGUGUAUGCGACUUUAUCAAAUAAUCUUCCAUUUAAAUACACGAUAAGAUGUAAAUUAUUAUUUACUAAUAAAGAAACUCAAGAAAGUUAUAGUG
Molecule: long non-coding RNA, 597 nt
Organism: Pseudomyrmex gracilis
Lineage: Eukaryota; Metazoa; Arthropoda; Insecta; Hymenoptera; Formicidae
Exons: 4
Source: RefSeq, a predicted model, not a curated record